GGAAAACUGCGAAUGGCUCGGUAAAUCAGUUAUAGUUUAUUUGAUAGUGCAGCUACUCGGAUAACCGUAGUAACACUAGAGCUAAUACGUGCGUAAAUCCCAACUUUCGGAAGGGACGUAUUUAUUAGAUUUAUGGCUAACCGGGCUUGCCCGACCAGCGGUGAAUCAUGGUAACUUGACGGAUUGCAUGGCCUUUGUGCCGGCGACGUGUCAUUCAAGUUUCUGCCCCAUCAGGUUUCGACUGUAGUGUAUUGGACUACAGUGCCUAUAACGGGUAGCGGAGGAUUAGGGUUCGAUUCCGGAGAGGGAGCCUGAGAAACGGCUACCACAUCCAAGGAAGGCAGCAGGCGCGCAAAUUACCCAAUCCCAAUUCAGGGAGGUAGUGACAAGAAAUAGCAAUGCGGAGCUUCGUGUUCUGCAAUUGGAAUGAGAACAAUUUAAACCACUUAACGAGUAUCAAUUGGAGGGCAAGUCUGGUGCCAGCAGCCGCGGUAAUUCCAGCUCCAAUAGCGUAUAUGUAAGUUGUUGCGAUUAAAAAGCCCGUAGCUGAACCUCGGGUAGCCCUGACGGUCCGCCUAAGGUGAGUACUGUCGUGGGCUGCCUUUCUGCUGGGUGCCGUAUCCGGCGUUUACUCGCCGUGAACGGAGCCCAGCAAGGUUACUUUGAGUAAAAUAGAGUGUUCAAAGCAAGCAUGUGCUCUGAAUACACUAGCAUGGGAUAACACGACAUGACCGAUGGUCUAUCUUGUUGGCCUGUAGACCCGUUGGUAAUGGCUAAUAGGGACGGUCGGGGGCAUUCGUAUUUCGCUGUCAGAGGUGAAAUUCUUGGAUUUGCGAAAGACGAACUACUGCGAAAGCAUUUGCCAAGGACGCUUUCAUUAGUCAAGGACGAAAGUCGGGGGAUCGAAGACGAUUAGAUACCGUCGUAGUCUCGACCAUAAACGAUGCCAAUUAGGGAUUGGAGGGCGGAUAGAUAUGCCUCCUCCAGCACCUUCCGCGAAAGCAAAAUUUAUGGGCUUCGGGGGGAGUAUGGUCGCAAGGCUGAAACUUAAAGGAAUUGACGGAACGGCACCACCAGGCGUGGAGCCUGCGGCUUAAUUUGACUCAACACGGGAAAACUUACCAGGUCCAGACAGAAGUAGGAUUUACAGAUUGAUAGCUCUUUAAAGAUUUUUUGGAUGGUGGUGCAUGGCCGUUCUUAGUUCGUGGAUUGAUUUGUCAGGUUGAUUCCGGUAACGGACGAGACCCCAACCUACUAACUAGCUCUGCUUGAAUCUCAGGCAGCCAGCUUCUUAGAGGGACUCUCGGAAUGAAACCGAAGGAGGUGGGGCAAUAACAGGUCUGUGAUGCCCUUAGAUGUCCUGGGCCGCACGCGCGCUACACUGAUGCAUUCAACGAGCCAACCCUGUGCCGAGAGGUACGGGUAAUCUGCGAAAGUGCAUCGUGAUGGGGCUAGAUUAUUGCAAUUAUUGAUCUUCAACGAGGAAUGCCUAGUAAGCGCGAGUCAUCAACUCGCGUUGAUUACGUCCCUGCCGUUUGUACACACCGCCCGUCGCUCCUACCGAUUGGGUGUGCUGGUGAAAUGUUCGGAUUGGACGGCCUUCCGUCAGGGGGCAGUUUGAGAAGUUCAUUGAACCCUCUCACCUAGAGGAAGGAGAAGUCGUAACAAGG
This 1670-nucleotide ribosomal RNA is filed under the name Cladophoropsis macromeres. Its description in RNAcentral is "SSU rRNA". It matches the Rfam family "Eukaryotic small subunit ribosomal RNA". Lineage: Eukaryota; Viridiplantae; Chlorophyta; Ulvophyceae; Cladophorales; Boodleaceae. The record is from RNAcentral.